UCUCCCUCCUAACCACUACAAAGGACCCACGCGAACUCCAUGAGCUUCUCCUCAACCCUAUUCAUCCUCUCGUCGAUUGUGUAGCCUGGCCCGAGCUUGUCAUCCUCACCAUCCACUUCGCAUGUCACCACCAAUGCUCCGGUGGACCUCCGUCCAUGCGGUGCAUGGAUGCAUGUGGCGCGACCUCAUAAAUCUGUCGAUAGCCCGAGCGUCAUUGGAUGUGGCCUAUGCCGCCAGAGCAAGUGCCGGUGAGCACACUAUCCCGUCUCCCCUGCCUCGCCUCUGUUCGAGUGAGAGGAGGGGGAUGAACCUAACCGUAGGGCCCCACGUGUCGGUCGUCCAGUGAGGCCGACGGGUGGGCCUUGCCCUAUUAAGUGGAGGCGGAUUUUUCCCUAGCCACCUUCCUUGUUGUGGAAGCGUACCCGCAAGUGCACCUUUGAAGUGGCACCUACGCACGCGUGGCUGAGCCACUAGGCCAUCCGAGUAGCUAAGUUACGCACAGUGUGUAGUUUAGCAGAUUUAGGUAAGGAUUUUCUUUUCCUUUUUAUCCAUCCAAAGGGAUGGAAUAAUCCCUAAUAAAUUCAAC
RNAcentral lists this long non-coding RNA (586 nucleotides) under Hordeum vulgare. Its description in RNAcentral is "long non-coding RNA (HVUL_LNC008805)". The record is from RNAcentral. Lineage: Eukaryota; Viridiplantae; Streptophyta; Magnoliopsida; Poales; Poaceae.